Zootermopsis nevadensis is the source of this 1425-nucleotide non-coding RNA. Lineage: Eukaryota; Metazoa; Arthropoda; Insecta; Blattodea; Termopsidae. The record is from RefSeq and is a predicted model, not a curated record.
GUUAGGUCGCGUGAACUUAGCUUUUGUGUUCAUGGCGUAAUGGACGUUCAGUCAGGAGGGUUUGAUAUUUCUGUGUGUGUGUUUUUUUUUAUUACAGGGUGCACAACUUGACAGGUUCAGUCGGCACGACCAAUGAAAUCGGUGCGAGAGGAGAGAGGAAAUAAAAAAAUUACUUUCUCAGUCUCUCUCUCUCCGGUAAAAACUCGCAUUGUUGGGACGAAGAUUCAAUAAAACUUAACACACACUGUUGGUUUUAUCAGUCCUUCACUUCAUUGUUGGAAGACUGUUUGAAUCUAUGUCGGGGUCGAUUCUUUACACUGAAAUUGUGUGUGCUGUUAAUUCUUUGUUUCAAUUAGCUCCAGAUUCAACAUUAGAGAAAGACGUCGAAUGUUGCUGUACUCAAGAAGCGAAUCACGUGAUCGAGUAAUAAAAUGCAAUCGGGGUCUUGAGCAUCGUUAUUAAUCCGUAGAUUUUACAGCGACAAUAAAAAUCGCCGAAUUGUCGUCGUCGAUGUUCGAUAAAACUUUACUGUUGCAAUAAUGCAGCUCUAUUUUAACAAAUUAAUUUCUUAGAGAUGGACUGUUCUAACCCGAAAAUUGUGACGCUGUAAUUCUUAUUACUGAAUUACGAAAGAGCCUCAAGGCGGAAGAUGAACAUCGUUGUUUCGAUUGCAUUUUCGAAUGCAGUGGCCUUUCCUUCCAACACGUCAAGUUUGAAUUGCGUUUUUAGCAGAAGGAAGGCCCUGCCAAGUUUUCAGUUAUGCAGAGUACCGAAAUUCGGCAUUGGAUUAAAAAUUACAGUUCUGGCGUCGUUUGUGUUUUCAUUCAUCGCACUAGAUGGCGUACAACGAUUUUUAAAUUUCUUCGAGCUACCUAUAAAUUUGGAUUCAUGCAACAGAAGAGGGAUCAAGAAUACUGAGGACACAGGUCUUGCUCAUGUCCUGUGCCUUAACGUGGCGAUAAGGUGAAACAAAGAACGGUGCAGUCCCUAAAUUGAAGUCGUCGUUGCAUGAUUGUAAACUCAAUUUGGUUAAACUUUUACCUAUUACAUGCAUAUGAUUGUAUUGCCUAAAGCAGACAUUCUAACUGGCUUUCUGACAAAUCAAUCGUAUUUCGUAAAGUGUAAACUCCCAUUAGUUGACCCGUGUUUGUCGGCCAAGAAUUUUUUUCUAGGUAGAACUGUCUUCCAUUGUUUGUAUGGACUUUAAAUGGAACAAAAUAACACGAAGACAUGAAUGCAUAUUUUUGUGCUUAUCAAGGAUUAUUGUCCAGUUAUGUAUCCAAGCAUAAAACAUUUUUAAUUAAACUUGUAGACAAAUAUAAAACAUGAUUUACGCUAUGACAAAGUAAAUGUACCAGAAUUAUUGUGCUAUGCAUAUGUUUCCAAACUUGUUUCUCUAAUAUAUGACUAACAUGCAAGAUGUGA